ACGUAGGGGUCAAGCGUUGUCCGGAUUCAUUGGGCGUAAAGAGCUCGUAGGCGGCUCAGUAAGUCGGUCGUGAAAGCCCGGGGCUCAACCCCGGGACGCCGAUCGAAACUGCUGUGGCUAGGGUUCGGUAGAGGAGAGUGGAAUUCCCGGUGUAGCGGUGAAAUGCGCAGAUAUCGGGAGGAACACCAGUAGCGAAGGCGGCUCUCUGGGCCGAUACCGACGCUGAGGAGCGAAAGCUAGGGGAGCAAACAGG
Molecule: ribosomal RNA, 253 nt
Filed under: uncultured bacterium
Lineage: Bacteria
Description: partial 16S ribosomal RNA
Rfam family: Bacterial small subunit ribosomal RNA
Source: RNAcentral